This 427-nucleotide ribosomal RNA is filed under the name Gemmatimonadota bacterium. RNAcentral's name for it is "Gemmatimonadetes bacterium partial 16S ribosomal RNA". It matches the Rfam family "Bacterial small subunit ribosomal RNA", at positions 355 to 776 of the family's 1533-position model. The record is from RNAcentral. Lineage: Bacteria; Pseudomonadati; Gemmatimonadota.
UAGGGAAUCUUCGGCAAUGGACGAAAGUCUGACCGAGCAACGCCGCGUGAGUGAAGAAGGUUUUCGGAUCGUAAAACUCUGUUGUUAGAGAAGAACAAGGACGUUAGUAACUGAACGUCCCCUGACGGUAUCUAACCAGAAAGCCACGGCUAACUACGUGCCAGCAGCCGCGGUAAUACGUAGGUGGCAAGCGUUGUCCGGAUUUAUUGGGCGUAAAGCGAGCGCAGGCGGUUUCUUAAGUCUGAUGUGAAAGCCCGGCUCAACCGGGGAGGGUCAUUGGAAACUGGGAGACUUGAGUGCAGAAGAGGAGAGUGGAAUUCCAUGUGUAGCGGUGAAAUGCGUAGAUAUAUGGAGGAACACCAGUGGCGAAGGCGGCUCUCUGGUCUGUAACUGACGCUGAGGCUCGAAAGCGUGGGGAGCAAACAGG